Molecule: ribosomal RNA, 151 nt
Filed under: Batrachochytrium dendrobatidis
Lineage: Eukaryota; Fungi; Chytridiomycota; Chytridiomycetes; Rhizophydiales
Description: 5.8S ribosomal RNA
Rfam family: 5.8S ribosomal RNA
About the family: 5.8S ribosomal RNA (5.8S rRNA) is a component of the large subunit of the eukaryotic ribosome. It is transcribed by RNA polymerase I as part of the 45S precursor that also contains 18S and 28S rRNA.
Source: RNAcentral
ACAACUUUUGACAACGGAUCUCUUGGCUCUCGCAACGAUGAAGAACGCAGCGAAAUGCGAUACGUAAUGUGAAUUGCAAACCUUUGUGGAUCAUUAAAUCUUUGAACGCACAUUGCACUCGUAAAAGAGUAUACAUGUUUGAGAAUUAUAA